This 459-nucleotide ribosomal RNA is filed under the name uncultured bacterium. RNAcentral's name for it is "partial 16S ribosomal RNA". It matches the Rfam family "Bacterial small subunit ribosomal RNA", at positions 338 to 795 of the family's 1533-position model. The record is from RNAcentral.
CCUACGGGAGGCUGCAGUGAGGAAUAUUGGUCAAUGGCCGGAAGGCUGAACCAGCCAAGUCGCGUGAGGGACGACUGCCCUAUGGGUUGUAAACCUCUUUUAUAAGGGAAGAAUAAAUGCUACGUGUAGCAUGAUGCCUGUACCUUAUGAAUAAGCAUCGGCUAACUCCGUGCCAGCAGCCGCGGUAAUACGGAGGAUGCGAGCGUUAUCCGGAUUUAUUGGGUUUAAAGGGUGCGUAGGCGGUCCGGAAAGUCAGCGGUAAAAGCCCGGGGCUCAACCCCGGCGAGCCGUUGAAACUGUCUGUCUAGAGACGGCGAGAGGUAGGCGGAAUGCGCGGUGUAGCGGUGAAAUGCAUAGAUAUUGCGCAGAACUCCGAUUGGGAAGGCAGCGUACCGGCGGCGAUAUGACGCUGAGGCACGAAAGCGUGGGUAUCGAACAGGAUUAGAUACCCUUGUAGUC